RNAcentral lists this ribosomal RNA (442 nucleotides) under uncultured bacterium. Its description in RNAcentral is "SSU rRNA". It matches the Rfam family "Bacterial small subunit ribosomal RNA", at positions 26 to 518 of the family's 1533-position model. The record is from RNAcentral.
AGGAUGAACGCUGGCGGUCUGCUUAACACAUGCAAGUCGAACGGAGUAGCAAUACUUAGUGGCGGACGGGUGAGUAACGCGUGAGAAUCUACCUUCAGGACGGAGACAACAGUUGGAAACGACUGCUAACCCCCGAUGUACCGAAAGGGCAAAUAUUUAUAGCCUGAAGAAGAGCUCGCGUCCGAUUAGCUAGUUGGAGAGGUAAAAGCUCACCAAGGCGACGAUCGGUAGCUGGUCUGAGAGGACGAUCAGCCACACUGGGACUGAGACACGGCCCAGACUCCUACGGGAGGCAGCAGUGGGAAUUUCGUCAAUGGGGGCAACCCUGAACGAGCAACGCCGCGUGCAGGAAGAGGUUUCGGAUCGUAAACUGCUUUUCGUCGGGAAGAGAACGGACGGUACCCGAGGAAUCAGCCCCGGCUAACUACGUGCCAGCAGCCGC